Molecule: long non-coding RNA, 579 nt
Organism: Fukomys damarensis (Damara mole-rat)
Lineage: Eukaryota; Metazoa; Chordata; Mammalia; Rodentia; Bathyergidae
Exons: 3
Source: RefSeq, a predicted model, not a curated record
CCUGAAGAUAAGGUAUUUGUACCUCCGCUGAGUUAAUAAUUGAGAUUCCUCUGUUAUUCCCCAGUCCCAGGCUUCUGUUCCUUUCGCUAUGGAAUGUCCAUACUCCUGCACAUCUCCAACGGGACGGUGAUAGCACAGCGUGUGUGCCUGAACCUCACAGUGGUGGUGAUGGUGAAUGGCACACAGACUCUGCCCAAUGUCUCUUCAGGGGAGAAUCCUGUCAAUACAACGGUAUUGUGGAUUUAUUAAAGGAGUUACAUCUUUAUUUGGAAUGAUAGGAGGCUUACUUUCUUCAAAUAUAGCUGGACAAAUCCUUAGUGAGUGUUAGCCAAGCACCUGAAGAGCCUGAGUGACCUCCUUAUGAAGAGAUGAGUGACCAGCACAGGAGGCCAGGCUGCAGGGUCACACACAGCACAGGAAGAAAGUGGAACAGAAAUUCCUGGGGCCAUCUCCCCACUACACAAGCUGUGUGAGCUUCUCUUUUGAAGCAUGUGUUUUUUUGUAACAUAUUACAUGUCUCAGUUUCAAAAGUGAGUUUAUGUAUCUAUCUUCAUCUUUGUAUGUUCUUCUAUUGUUAAA